This 91-nucleotide small RNA is filed under the name Salmonella enterica. Its description in RNAcentral is "partial RtT sRNA". It matches the Rfam family "RtT RNA", at positions 40 to 130 of the family's 130-position model. Rfam says of the family: This family represents a bacterial cis-regulatory element known as RtT RNA. The exact function of RtT is unknown although it is thought that it may be involved in changing the cellular response in relation to amino acid starvation. The record is from RNAcentral. Lineage: Bacteria; Pseudomonadati; Pseudomonadota; Gammaproteobacteria; Enterobacterales; Enterobacteriaceae. RNAcentral also lists the same sequence under 1 other name.
GGUUCGACCCGAGCGAAGCGAGAGAACGUUGCGUCAGCAACGGCCCGCAGGGCGAGCCACGCAGUGGCGAGUCAUCCUCUAUCACCGACCA